GACGAACGCUGGCGGCGUGCUUAACACAUGCAAGUCGAACGGAAAGGCUCUGCUUUUGUGGGGUGCUCGAGUGGCGAACGGGUGAGUAACACGUGAGUAACCUGCCCUUGACUUUGGGAUAACUUCAGGAAACUGGGGCUAAUACCGGAUAGGAGCUCCUGCUGCAUGGUGGGGGUUGGAAAGUUUCGGCGGUUGGGGAUGGACUCGCGGCUUAUCAGCUUGUUGGUGGGGUAGUGGCUUACCAAGGCUUUGACGGGUAGCCGGCCUGUGAGGGUGACCGGCCACAUUGGGACUGAGGUACGGCCCAGACUCCUACGGGAGGCAGCAGUGGGGAGUAUUGCACAAUGGGCGGAAGCCUGAUGCAGCAACGCCGCGUGCGGGAUGACGGCCUUCGGGUUGUAAACCGCUUUCGCCUGUGACGAAGCGUGAGUGACGGUAAUGGGUAAAGAAGCACCGGCUAACUACGUG
Molecule: ribosomal RNA, 468 nt
Filed under: uncultured bacterium
Lineage: Bacteria
Description: partial 16S ribosomal RNA
Rfam family: Bacterial small subunit ribosomal RNA
Source: RNAcentral